This 604-nucleotide ribosomal RNA is filed under the name uncultured bacterium. RNAcentral describes it as "bacterial SSU rRNA". It matches the Rfam family "Bacterial small subunit ribosomal RNA", at positions 28 to 638 of the family's 1533-position model. The record is from RNAcentral.
GAUGAACGCUGGCGGCGUGCCUAAUACAUGCAAGUCGCGCGAGAAAAGGCAGACACUUCGGUAGACGUCUGAGUAAAGCGGCGGACGGGUGAGUAACACGUAGGUGACCUACCCUGGAGAGGGGGACAACCGUUGGAAACGGCGGCUAAUACCCCAUGAGCUUCCGCGCGUCAGAGGGCGAGGGAGAAAAGGUUAAGGCGCUCCAGGAGGGGCCUGCGGCCCAUCAGCUAGUUGGCAGGGUAACGGCCUACCAAGGCGAAGACGGGUAGGGGGCCUGAGAGGGUGACCCCCCACACGGGAACUGAGACACGGUCCCGACUCCUACGGGAGGCAGCAGUAAGGAAUAUUGCACAAUGGGCGCAAGCCUGAUGCAGCAACGCCGCGUGCCCGAUGAAGGCCUUCGGGUUGUAAAGGGCUUUUCUGGCUGAAGAGGAAAGACAGUAGGCCAGGAAUAAGCGUCGGCUAACUACGUGCCAGCAGCCGCGGUAAAACGUAGGACGCGAGCGUUAUCCGGAUUUACUGGGCGUAAAGCGCGGGCAGGCGGCGGUCCAAGUCGGACGUGAAAGCUCCUGGCUCAACCGGGAGAGGCCGUUCGAAACUGGGU